GCAUCAGCGUGCUCCGGGCG
This 20-nucleotide non-coding RNA is filed under the name Arabidopsis thaliana (thale cress). Lineage: Eukaryota; Viridiplantae; Streptophyta; Magnoliopsida; Brassicales; Brassicaceae. The record is from RNAcentral.